CGGUGGGUGAGCUGGAUGAAAA
RNAcentral lists this non-coding RNA (22 nucleotides) under Drosophila melanogaster (fruit fly). The record is from RNAcentral. Lineage: Eukaryota; Metazoa; Arthropoda; Insecta; Diptera; Drosophilidae.